This is an RNA transcript of Mustela lutreola (European mink), 8406 nucleotides long. It is a transcript of the gene named Rho guanine nucleotide exchange factor 33, with no coding region annotated. The transcript is spliced from 21 exons. NCBI's taxonomy places the organism in Eukaryota, Metazoa, Chordata, Mammalia, Carnivora, Mustelidae. The record is from RefSeq and is a predicted model, not a curated record.
GUGGAAGGUGAAGGACAGUAUACUGACAUCCGGGGACUAGAAUGGUGUGAAUCCAGAUAAGCCUUGAUCUGAGGAUGAUAUAACCACAGCAAGCAACAUGGGAACCUCUAGAAAAAUCAGAAAGACUUCAUAAAACAUGAUGUGAUGUCUACCGGUGGAGACAGGCCACAAGGUCCAGAGAAGAAGGGGUGGCCUGAUCCAGGGACAAUGAAGAUGUAAUGUUGAAGAAUCAGCUGGAGGAAAGAAGGAACAGGCACCAUGGAAAAGACCAAAACAAAGCAAGGAGAGAAUGAACAUAUGCCGAUGAAUAACCCUUCCACACAGAUUUACCAGGCUUCGAAGUACAAGUCUUCCCUGAACCUGCCUCCGGUGGGAGCCCGCCUCCAGCGGCAGGACGGAGGGAUCAUAACCUCUCUAGAGCAGCUUCAUGAAAAAAUCAACGAGAUGAGGAACGUGUUCAACUCGCUGGAGAACAAGUUGCAGGCCUUGGCCUCUGAACUCAAAACUGGAUUCACGGAAGCAAUGCAAGAACUGUCAAGAAUUCAACAUGGAGAAUAUGCUUUGGAAGAGAAGGUUAAGAGCUGCCGAUGUUCCAUGGAAGAAAAAGUUACUGAGAUGAAGAAUUCGUUGAACUAUUUCAAGGAAGAGCUGAGCAAUGCCAUGUCAAUGAUUCAAGCCAUCACUUCCAAGCAAGAAGAAAUGCAACAGAAAAUUGAACAACUUCAGCAGGAAAAGAGAAGGGAAUCUCGAAAAGUUAAAGCCAAGAAAACUCAGAAAGAAGAACAUGGCUCGCAGGCUGGGCCUGCUCAGGCACAAGGAAGUCCUUUCCGUUCGAUCAAUAUCCCUGAGCCUGUUCUUCCAAGUGAAGACUUUACAAAUCUUUUGCCUUCUCAGGCCUAUGAAAAAGCCCAAGAGUCCAGAUCCAUGCAUGUCGCAGACAGUAAUGUGAAGGGGAUGAUGGGUCCUGGGAUGAACCCAACAACUCCAGAAGCAGAAGAAAACCUGAAGUCUUGCCUCUCGGCUGAUAUCCAGCCCAAGAGCCAUCUCUCAUCUGGUGUGUGGAGGCAGCCAAAGGAUGGCAAAGAAUGGGGCGAGGAAUAUGUCACGAAAGACCACCCAGAUAAACUCAAGGAUGCUGGCCAGGGCAGACACAGCUCCUUGGAAAAUGUUUUAUGUGAAACCUCUUUAGCUGCUAAAAGACAGACUGUGGCUCUGGAACUGCUUGAGUCAGAGAGAAAAUAUGUCAUUAACAUCUCUCUGAUCCUGAAGAUCAAGGCAACAUUCCAAGGGUCAGAUGGAAAGAGGAAUUCCAAAGAGAGAAGCCUCUUCCCUGGCUCUUUACGGUACCUUGUCCAGCAGCACCUUGAUUUGCUUCAUGCUCUGCAAGAAAGGGUCCUGAAGUGGCCACGCCAAGGAGUUCUUGGAGAUUUAUUCCUUAAGUUGACAAAUGAUGAGAACAAUUUCUUGGAUUAUUACGUUGCCUACCUAAGGGACCUGCCUGAAUGCAUCUCUUUGGUUCAUGUUGUUGUUCUGAAGGAGGGUGACGAAGAGAUUAAAUCUGACAUCUACACACUGUUUUUUCACAUAGUUCAGCGCAUCCCUGAGUAUCUGAUACAUCUGCAGAAUGUCCUGAAGUUCACAGAGCAGGAACACCCUGACUAUUAUCUACUUCUGGUGUGUGUUCAGCGCCUCCGAGUAUUUAUCUCGCAUUACACCUUGCUGUUUCAAUGCAAUGAGGAUUUGCUUAUUCAGAAACGGAAAAAGCUCAAGAAGUCAUCCAUGGCGAAGCUGUACAAAGGGCUGGCUUCCCAGUGUGCAAAUACUGGACAAGAUGCUUCCCCUACUACUGGCCCUGAGGCUGUCCGUGACAGUGGGAUCCACUCAGAAGAGAUACUGCAACCCUACCCUUCUGCUCCCAGUUCUGGCCCUGCUGUCACACAUUUGAUGCCCCCCGUGAAGAAGAGCCAACAACAGCAAAGCCUGAUGGAGAGCAUGCAGCCUGGGAAGCCCAGUGAGUGGGAGAUGGAGGGCAGAAAGCACGAGAGGCCCGAGAGCCUCCUGGCGCCGGCGCAGUUCUGUGCGGCCGAGCAGGACGUGAAGGCGCUCGCCGGGCCCCUGCAGGCCAUCCCCGAGAUGGACUUCGAGCCCUCGCCCGCCGAGCCGCUGGGCAACGUGGAGCGGUCCCUGCGCGCCCCGGCCGAGCUCCUGCCCGACGCCCGCGGCUUCGUGCCCGCGGGCUAUGAGGAGUUCGAGUACGGCGGCGAGAUCUUCGCGCUGCCCGCGCCCUACGACGAGGAGCCGUUUCAGGCCCCGGCCCUCUUCGAGAACUGCUCGCCCGCCUCUUCCGAGUCCAGCCUGGACAUCUGCUUCCUGCGGCCCGUCAGCUUCGCCAUGGAGGCCGAGCGGCCGGAGCACCCGCUGCAGCCGCUGCCCAAGAGCGCCACGUCUCCGGCGGGCAGCAGCAGCGCCUACAAGCUGGAGGCGGCGGCGCAGGCGCACGGCAAGGCCAAGCCGCUGAGCCGCUCGCUCAAGGAGUUCCCGCGCGCGCCGCCCCCCGAGGGCGUGGCCCCGCGCCUCUACAGCACGCGCAGCAGCAGCGGCGGCCGCGCGCCGCUCAAGGCCGAGCGCGCCGCGCAGCCGCACGGCCAGGCCGCCGCCGCAGCCGCCGCCGCCGCCCGCGGCGCGCCCAGGACCUUCUUCCCCCAACAGAGGUCCCAAAGCGAAAAGCAGACCUAUUUGGAAGUAAGGAGGGAGAUGCAUUUAGAAGACACCACCAGAUUCUGUCCGAAGGAAGAAAGAGAAAGCGAACAAACAUCUUUCAGCGAUCAAAACCCCAGGCAAGACCAGAAAGGGGGCUUUCGCAGCUCCUUCCGCAAGCUCUUUAAAAAGAAUUACAGAGUUCCUCAAACGUUAAAGACUAAUGUCUCAUCCAGAAGAAAAGAUUUUAGAACAGAAGGCUGUACGAGAUUUUAAAAACAGAGAUUUAUAUCGAUUUCAUCACAAUCCUCCCUUUCAAGAAUCUACUUGCUGUUCUGCAAAUCUAUUUGUCAGUUUCUCUGUACCAGUAGCUGCCAACUCUCCCAUCAAAUCCCUGGUCCAGGUUACUUCGAACGGGAGCUGCAGUGACUUUUUUCUGCUGCCUUGUCUCCUUCACUUGAGAACUAUUCUUUGAUAAUACUUCACUGCACAGUUCUUCAAAACCUUAGGAAUUCAAAAUAUACCUAUGUUAAUAUGCAGAAGACAGCACGCUAAAUCUGAGGUGAUAAUUCAAUCCUUUCUUCUUAGGUACCUAUUUUGAUUGACACUUGACAUUUUAUUUGGCAAGGUCAAUGAAAAUUUAUGAAAUAUUUGUUACAUGGAGUUAUUUAUGUCAAGAAUGCCCCUCCCCCCACCAUAGUGAACCGCUGUUAAUCAGGAUGUCUGUUCAUGUGAUAAUUCUCCCUUUAAUACAGCCAUUUAAAAAGCCACAAGGAACAAUAAGCUUCUCAACAAGGAUUUAUAAACAAUCACUCUUGAAUUCCUUAAAAAAGGAAACAGACGCUAUGCUGACGCACAAACACUUAAAAAAAAUUAUCAGAGAGUUUAAAAAUAGAACAGCACUGCCCUAUAGAUCAAAAAUUGUUCAAAAGAUUUUUUUUUUUAAAGUUAAGACACCCAAACCGAACUUAGAUAGGCCGCAAACUCAAAAGAAAGCUAAUGCAGGUUUUUGAGGAUUUUCUGAGGGUGUAAAAUAGCAAUAAAUACUUUAAAGAAAACUAUCAACCGGCUUGUGUUUUUUCAAUAUCAUUUUCUAGAAAAGAGUACCACACACAGGAUACACCUUUUUUCCACACUUCAAUAUGAAAAGCUUGUAUUUGUACACAAUAUCAGUUCUGAAUUUUCCCUACCUCAUGGUCACCUCAUUUCUCUAAAGUAAGAUUGUCAAACCAGAUACACCAUUACCAAACAUUUCUUUACUCGUGUCGUUUUAAGUCUCAAUAAUUAAUCUGUACUUUAUUUCCUUCCGGUAACUCUGAAACAGAAUUAAAAUUCCUACUCUCAUCUCUUUUUUAUGAACCUUGCUUUGUGCUCCUCUUAAGGUAGGUAAGAAAGUCUCUUCGUAUUCUUGCCAGAUUCAGAAUGAUCUAACUAGACAGUGUCCCCUCUCCAGCAUUUCAAAUGGAUUCCAAAGUUCUGAUGCAGUGAGCAAAUUAGUCUAUGUCCAGAAAUACUGGAUCUCAGAGAUAAGCUAUAAAUCAGAUUCCAUGUAAGACCCUGGUGUAGUCUUUUAAGCGACAAUUAAGCAUUUUCUAAUUUACCUAAAUUUAACUUUUUCUCCCAGAAAGCUUUCCUAUACAGAGCAAACAUCACCAGUAAACUGGGUUUUGUUAAAAAGUAAAAUUAUGAUGCGCAAUAUCUAACUGUAUACUAAAAUCUAUGCAUUAAAAUGGAAGUUUAUCUAUAGCCAGAGAUUAUUAUUUAUUUCAAUAAGAGGAAAAAAAAUUAGUCUGCUUACAUCUUCAUAGUAAACUUGUGUUUGUCCAAUAAGGAAAAAGCCACUUAUAUUACUGGCAAUUCAAACCAACCAAGAAGUUCUCUUUAUUUUUAUUAUUUGAUAUCUAUAAUAAAAAUGUAUUUUAAUACUGAAAAAAUUUGUCUUACAUGAGUCACUGUAACAUGGUGAAAAGUACAGUAUGUUAAGAAUCAAGAAACCUAAGUUUUAGUCUUCAUUCUGCAAUUAAUUGGUAUGACUUCUGGAAAAUCAUGUAACUUUCAGGGGCUUUGGGUUUUUGUGUAUUAGUGAGAGAUUGGUCAUCUUGUCUAACACUGCAAAUCUAUAGCUCUGCUUCAAAAUUACUGUUAAAAACACCUGAGGGAUCAAGUUGGCUAAAGCCAUAGUGAAGUCUGAAUUAAGUAAGGUUAAACCAGUUUUUCUUCUGGGGUGUUUUGUUUUGUUUUGGUUUUUGUUUGUUUUUUUGGACAAUUUCUGAACAAUCCAGAACCUAGAAAAUGGUCUGUAAGUGGUGCUUAAUGGAUAUUAAAUUUUCUCAUAUAUUACAGCCAAUGUCUUUUAUUAAAAUUCUGUAUAAUAAAAAUGUGCAAGUUAAAUUUUAGCCUUUAUUUCAGCCCAUUUUGCACUGAAUGUUCUCUCCAAUAAAAAUAUCUACCAACUAAACCUCUCGCCCACCUCUGCAAAAUAGCAGACCAAUAAUUCUAAAAACAAAUGGUAACUUGAUCUCUUAUUAUUGUAGUGAGGACUCAAGAGUACUUUCGAGCUGAAAGAGAUCUUAAAAAAUAAUUGCUUUCAUGUUUACGAGUUCAUAGACAUCUACUGAAAACAAAUCCCAUAUUGCCAGUAACAUGUUUGUGACAGACCUUAUAGAAGAGCUCAAAUAAACUAGUAAUUAAUACUAAUUUGUAGGUAUUGUGAACCACAACUCAAGAAAGUUGCUUGUGUAUGCCAGUUACACCAGUAAUAUACCUUCAUGACCUAUGUUAAAAUAUCCAAUUAAGCCUCAAAAGAAGAAAGAAAAGAAAAAUGCAAAAAAAAAAAAAAAAACACAAAAAAAACUUGGCCACAUUUCUAGUCAACACUGGCAUUUUAUUCCUCAAGAAAUUAAUGAAAUGAAUUUUUGAAAAACUUUAAUUUCUUAAAAAAGUAAAGCAAUCUUGUCAAUUUAAAUGUGAAACACUUUGCAAAGUGUUACAAAUCUAGAAAUUUCAGUGUUUUAUACUAACUAGAAAUAAAACCAUUUAAAAUACGAUUCUAUUCAAAAGCUAAAAGUUAAAUACAAAUAAGAGGAACUAUCAAAAGUAAUUAGUAAGACAGCACAGCAAAAGUACUAUGUCUACACACUAGGCUAGCAUCAUGCAUGUCAAGGAGAGAAACUUCAGAUACCCUAGAAAAACUUUCAGCUAUGCUUGUUCAAGUUUUGUUUUAAAGUGUCCUCAUUCAAAAAAUAAAUAAAAAGCACAGUUCCCAGAAAAUAUUUAAUUGUAAUUCUGCAACUGCUUACUAAUGAUGUUAGUUCUAUGAAAUGUAGCAGUCUAAAAAAAAAUUUAUCAUCAACAAUCAAGUUUUACAGAAACAAUUAUAUUAAAAAAUUUGGAAUCUGAAAAUGUUUUCCAACUCCAGUACCACUGAGGUCUGAUAGUAAACACUAGUUGAGUCUUUAGCACUUUUCUACUUACACUGCUCUACAGGAAAGAAACAAAACAAAAUAGUACAACUUUUGUCUUAGGUAGAUAAAAAUCCAAGGAUUAAUUUUACUUUAAACAGUCUUUUCCACACUUCAACAUGAAAAUUAUUCCAUAGUUUUCAUAUUGAAGAACUCAAAACAAAGGUAUUUAAAAUCAAAGGAUGAAUGGUUUAGAGUGCUUAUGCUAAAGAAAUCAGGGAAUCUUGUAAGAGCCUUAAAAAUCAGAAUGUGGCAAGAAGAGCAAUCUGAGCUUAUAGAACAUUAAAAAUUCCUUUAAAAAGCAAAGAAAUAAAUAUUUUGCAACCGUAAUUUUCGAGUAACUUAAUGAACAUCUUUGUAGUUGUAUUCUAGAUCUUAAAGAGUAUACAGAAGUUGAUGAAGAUCACAAAAUAGAUUGGUCAUAUUAAUAUAAAUGGUAUUUCUUGAAAAGUUUCAUAUGUAAAAAAGAUACCAGAAUAAUCGUUUUCUUUUUCAUGUAAAAUCCUAGGCAGAUUAUUUAACUUUCCCAUGCUUAGUUUUUUUCAUUUUUGAGUCAGUAAAAUGAAUACACUGACUGCAUACGUUUCUAGGUGAAAAAUCAACAGAAAAAUUGGAAUCCCAGGCUAGUCUUCUUUCACUAUCUUCAACAUGUGUCAGCUCCUGCCUGCUACUACCAAAUGGAAUCUGUUUAGAGAACCCAAAAUGCUUUUAAUAGCCUACAAAAAACACUAAUAUUUCACUAUGGAAAAGGCUAUCAAAAGAACCACCAAUUAGAGGCUAAAUAAAAAUUAAAAAACAAAACAAAAUCCUGGCUUAUUUAUUACAGAGACAUGUGGAGAUCAUGAGAUAUUAUAUUCAUAAAAGUGCUUUGGUAUCACUGAUAAAAAUAUUCUAACUUGAUUUCACUCUUUUGAAGGAGGCCCUGAUAGUUUCCAGGCCAUUUAAGUAGUUCUGACUGGACAUGUAAUAAGUUGAAUAUAUCAACAUUAUCAAAAGUUAUUCAUCUUUCUUACAGUGGAUCUUUAAAAGUUUAAUUUAACUGGUGCCAGAACACCUUCCAGAGAGAACUGAGAACCUAUUUAGAGGACUUUAAAUAAAUGAAAACACAAAACACUAAUAAAAAAAAAAAAAACCCUCCCUCAGAAACACACAUCUUCUAGAAACAGGAAUAUAUUUAAGCAGGAAGUAUAGGGAUGGAGGUUAACUUUCACAUUCGACUACUUAGAGCAGCAUUUAUGUUUUAAGAGUUAUGUUUUGAGUUAAUAUCUCUUUAUAAUUAAAAACACUCUUUGAAAGUAAGUUUACAUUUAUGUUUACAAGGAGUUUUUACAGGUCGUAGUUCAUCUAUUCUUUCCAAGUCUGAGGUUGCUGUUGUGAUGCUCAUUUUUGAGAUGGAAACUGAGGUUCUGGGACCUGAAGGAACUGUGAUAGAGUGAGCAUGGAAAUCCAGAUUUGUUGCUCUUUCAACUAUACCAUACGCUACAGUUUACAAUUUCCAAUCUUUCCAUUGUGUAGGAAAGUUGAAGGUCGAGGAACACUGGAUUAUCAUGGGUGACUUUCUAGAAGAAAUAAAAUUACUUUAAAAAAAGAAUCAUUAUGUUUGUUUCUUAACUCUCAAAAAUUACAUUUGAUUUGGUCUCUACUAAUCUUCCUAGGUAGUCUGGACAUGUUUGUCUCUAAAAACUGCCCUGCUGAGGUAAAAUUGUUUUCUUAAAUGACAUCGGUUGUAAAGUGCAAAAAAACCUGAAACCUUUAAUGACUUUCAGGAUUGCUAAAUUUAACUAAGUUUUAGGAACAGAAAUUAGGAAAAAACAAUGCUGUGCAUAUUUGUACUACAGCACAAUUGUGGUGAUGAAUGUACACUAAAAUUUUUACUGACUUUAUAAUCUCAGUAAUGGAAAGAGAAGAAAGAAAAAAGAAAAAGAGGUAAAAGUCGUUAGACCCUAAUGAUGAUGAUUUAGCACUACUUUUAGUUUUGUUUCCACCACUAAUUGGAUAAAUUUAGCCAAGUGAUUUUAUAUUCCCAUUUGUAAUUCUGGUUAUAAAGUUAAAAAUAAUAUGUGAAUGUGGUAGCAAAAGUAUAAAUGGCAGUAUUUUUAGGUAAAGGAAAAUGAACUCGAAAUAAUGCAGAAGAUCUUUUGUUGUUAGUCUGCUUUCUAUUUUAGGCACAGUGACUUGUGCAGCAAAGAAAAUCAGCUGGAAGCAGGAAAAUAAAAGUGACAGGCCACUUUUUAUUCCUUACCUGCAU